UCCGUGCCUGUGCCAUCCUUGCCUUGAUCACCUGUGCCUGCGCUGGUUACCUCGGUUAUCCCUAUGGAUACUCCUGGGGUGCCGCAGCUGUACCAGUAUAUACAGCUUCACUAAGCACCUACGGCUACAAUUAUGGAUACGGUUUUCCAACCUAUGGGUAUGGAUACAGCCCAUAUGUUCUCAAUUACGGAUACGGCCUCGGUGGUCUAGGAUACCCCACAAUCAUCGGCAAAAAGUAGAUCUCACUGCUUCACACCCGGACAGCAUCACCGAUCAAUUUUCACGGAACUAAAAAAAAAAAGAAACAACGCCGACUUCACCGUCCUGACCAAUUCAAAACACAGUAUACAAUAAAUACUGAAAACAUCAUCAUCA
RNAcentral lists this long non-coding RNA (375 nucleotides) under Rhipicephalus microplus (southern cattle tick). Its description in RNAcentral is "uncharacterized LOC119159996". The record is from RNAcentral. Lineage: Eukaryota; Metazoa; Arthropoda; Arachnida; Ixodida; Ixodidae.